CCUACGGGAGACAGCAGUGGGGAAUAUUGGGCAAUGGGCGCAAGCCUGACCCAGCAACGCCGCGUGAAGGAAGAAGGCUUUCGGGUUGUAAACUUCUUUUAAGGGGGAAGAGCAGAAGACGGUACCCCUUUAAUAAGCCACGGCUAACUACGUGCCAGCAGCCGCGGUAAUACGUAGGUGGCAAGCGUUGUCCGGAUUUACUGGGUGUAAAGGGCGUGCAGCCGGAGAGACAAGUCAGAUGUGAAAUCCACGGGCUCAAACCGUGAACUGCAUUUGAAACUGUUUCCCUUGAGUGUCGGAGAGGUAAUCGGAAUGCCUGGUGUAGCGGUGAAAUGCGUAGAUAUAAGGAAGAACACCGGUGGCGAAGGCGGAUUACUGGACGAUAACUGACGGUGAGGCGCGAAAGCGUGGGGAGCAAACAGGAUUAGAUACCCUUGUAGUC
RNAcentral lists this ribosomal RNA (442 nucleotides) under uncultured bacterium. RNAcentral describes it as "partial 16S ribosomal RNA". It matches the Rfam family "Bacterial small subunit ribosomal RNA", at positions 338 to 795 of the family's 1533-position model. The record is from RNAcentral.